UACCAGCACCCCGAGUGGUCGGGACGUUUAUUGGGCCUAAAGCAUCCGUAGCCGGUUCUACAAGUCUUCCGUUAAAUCCGACUGCUUAACAGGUGGGCUGCGGAAGAUACUAUAGAGCUAGGAGGCGGGAGAGGCAAGCGGUACUCGAUGGGUAGGGGUAAAAUCCGUUGAUCCAUUGAAGACCACCAGUGGCGAAGGCGGCUUGCCAGAACGCGUUCGACGGUGAGGGAUGAAAGCUGGGGGAGCAAACCGG
RNAcentral lists this ribosomal RNA (253 nucleotides) under uncultured bacterium. RNAcentral's name for it is "partial 16S ribosomal RNA". It matches the Rfam family "Archaeal small subunit ribosomal RNA", at positions 474 to 727 of the family's 1478-position model. The record is from RNAcentral.